UACGAAGGGGGCUAGCGUUGCUCGGAAUCACUGGGCGUAAAGGGUGCGUAGGCGGGUUUUUAAGUCAGAGGUGAAAUCCUGGAGCUCAACUCCAGAACUGCCUUUGUUACUGAGAAUCUUGAGUAUGGGAGAGGUGAGUGGAACUGCGAGUGUAGAGGUGAAAUUCGUAGAUAUUCGCAAGAACACCAGUGGCGAAGGCGGCUCACUGGCCCAUAACUGACGCUGAGGCACGAAAGCGUGGGGAGCAAACAGG
RNAcentral lists this ribosomal RNA (253 nucleotides) under uncultured bacterium. RNAcentral describes it as "partial 16S ribosomal RNA". It matches the Rfam family "Bacterial small subunit ribosomal RNA", at positions 524 to 776 of the family's 1533-position model. The record is from RNAcentral.